UAUCAUAUCAAAAAUGACGCUCUUUUC
RNAcentral lists this small RNA (27 nucleotides) under Bombyx mori (domestic silkworm). RNAcentral's name for it is "piRNA piR-bmo-1618184". Lineage: Eukaryota; Metazoa; Arthropoda; Insecta; Lepidoptera; Bombycidae. The record is from RNAcentral.